This 69-nucleotide transfer RNA is filed under the name Dipodomys ordii (Ord's kangaroo rat). It matches the Rfam family "tRNA". From Rfam's summary of the family: Transfer RNA (tRNA) molecules are approximately 80 nucleotides in length. Their secondary structure includes four short double-helical elements and three loops (D, anti-codon, and T loops). Lineage: Eukaryota; Metazoa; Chordata; Mammalia; Rodentia; Heteromyidae. The record is from Rfam by way of RNAcentral.
GGGGGUUUAGCCCAGCGGAAGGGCGCCCGCUUGGCGCGCGCAAGGCCCUGGGUUCGGUUCCCAGCCCCG